RNAcentral lists this ribosomal RNA (1038 nucleotides) under Acinetobacter baumannii. Its description in RNAcentral is "partial 23S ribosomal RNA". It matches the Rfam family "Bacterial large subunit ribosomal RNA", at positions 1893 to 2925 of the family's 2925-position model. The record is from RNAcentral. RNAcentral also lists the same sequence under 1 other name. Lineage: Bacteria; Pseudomonadati; Pseudomonadota; Gammaproteobacteria; Moraxellales; Moraxellaceae.
GCGUAAGCGAAGCUCUUGAUCGAAGCCCCAGUAAACGGCGGCCGUAACUAUAACGGUCCUAAGGUAGCGAAAUUCCUUGUCGGGUAAGUUCCGACCUGCACGAAUGGCAUAAUGAUGGCGGCGCUGUCUCCAGCAGAGGCUCAGUGAAAUCGAAAUCGCUGUGAAGAUGCAGUGUACCCGCGGCUAGACGGAAAGACCCCGUGAACCUUUACUGCAGCUUGACACUGAACUUUGACCUUACUUGUGUAGGAUAGGUGGGAGGCUUUGAAGCUGGAACGCUAGUUCCAGUGGAGCCGUCCUUGAAAUACCACCCUGGUAAUGUUGAGGUUCUAACUCUGUCCCGUGAUCCGGGACGAGGACCGUGUCUGGUGGGUAGUUUGACUGGGGCGGUCUCCUCCUAAAGAGUAACGGAGGAGUACGAAGGUGCGCUCAGCGUGGUCGGAAAUCACGCGUAGAGUAUAAAGGCAAAAGCGCGCUUAACUGCGAGACCCACAAGUCGAGCAGGUACGAAAGUAGGUCUUAGUGAUCCGGUGGUUCUGUAUGGAAGGGCCAUCGCUCAACGGAUAAAAGGUACUCUGGGGAUAACAGGCUGAUACCGCCCAAGAGUUCAUAUCGACGGCGGUGUUUGGCACCUCGAUGUCGGCUCAUCUCAUCCUGGGGCUGAAGCAGGUCCCAAGGGUAUGGCUGUUCGCCAUUUAAAGAGGUACGCGAGCUGGGUUUAGAACGUCGUGAGACAGUUCGGUCCCUAUCUACCGUGGGCGCUGGAAAUUUGAGAGGAUCUGCUCCUAGUACGAGAGGACCAGAGUGGACGAACCUCUGGUGUACCGGUUGUGACGCCAGUCGCAUCGCCGGGUAGCUAUGUUCGGAAGGGAUAACCGCUGAAAGCAUCUAAGCGGGAAGCCUACCUCAAGAUAAGAUUUCCCUAGGACUUUAUGUCCUCUAAAGAGCCGUUCGAGACUAGGACGUUGAUAGGUUGGAUGUGGAAGCAUAGUGAUAUGUGAAGCUGACCAAUACUAAUUGCUCGUGAGGCUUGACUAU